Pantherophis guttatus is the source of this 3942-nucleotide non-coding RNA. Lineage: Eukaryota; Metazoa; Chordata; Lepidosauria; Squamata; Colubridae. The record is from RefSeq and is a predicted model, not a curated record.
UGGGAUUUUAUGAAUGGUUGCACUGAAAAGAGUUGCUUGCAGGUGUCCCUUAUGGGAAUGUGAAGUGGAUGGAUCAUGCUGGUCUUUUGUUGUCCUUAAGAUACCAAGUGCUGAUUCUCGGUUUUCUUCUGCAAGCUUUAUUGCAAAUACUUUUAAGUGGAGCAGAAACAAGAGUUGUCAUAAAAAGUAAUAAUACUGCAAAAUGUUGGGAGGGAGCAGCCAUAUAAUUUUGUCUCUUCAUCAGCCCUUGUUUUCAAUUAAUAAUAGACAAUUAUUGGUUUGCUUAUCACUUAGCCAAGCCACAGUUUAAACAAUCAUAUCUCUUUGAAUUAUUUAAUUAGUUUGGAUUGUUUUGUCUGUAGCUCUCAACCACCAUCUAUUAACUCAUGUUUAAUAGAUCAGUAUACAUGCUUGUUGCAUCUUUUAUCCAUCUCGUGUAUAGCGUGAACAUCAAGUCAUCAUAUAAGUAUAGUUCUUUAAAAAUGUUUGAGGGAAGACUGUGAUAGAAUAAGAAAAUAAGAGUAAAUCAUCCCUUACCAUUUUUCCUUUUCUAUUAGCAAACUGUAAUCUUGUGUAUGUAGGCACUUUUCAGUUCUUUUCCCUGACUGGUAAUAAUUUCUUCCUUAUAUUGUCUGCUGUAAUAAAAAGCUAAUGUUAGAUAAAGUAAAUGACAUCAAUUUUUCAAAAUAUAUGAAGUAUUACAGGGUAAAAUUAGGACUAUUUUAAUUUCCUUAGCUUUUUAAUACAAACUGGAAAUCUGUUUGUGCCUCUUUUGAGUAAAGGAUGCAUACAAAAAGAAGUGCAUUAGAAGGAAAACUCUGCAUAAAAUAUAUACAGGUAGUCACAACCACAAUUGAGUUCCAAAUUUAUGUUGCUAAGCAAGAUAGUUAUUAAGUGAAUUUUGUCCAAUAUUAUGACCUUUCAUGCCACAGUUGGUAAGUGGAUCACUGCAGUUGUGAAUCUGGCUUCCUUGUUGACUUCGCUUGUCAAAAGGUCACAAAAGGAUUAUAUGACCCAUGCAACCGUUAUAAAUAUGAGCCAGCUGCCAAACAUCUGAAUUUUGAUCACAUGACCAUGGGGAUGCUGUAAUGGUUGUAAGCGUGAAAACGGUCAUAAGUCACUGUUUUCAGUGCUGUUGUAACUUCGAAUAGUCACUAAAUUAAGUGUUGUAAAUUAGGACUACUUGUGUAUCAAUGAAAGCAACAUACCAAAUUCUUCUAAAUGUGUUUUUAAAAUACACUUAUAGGAGAAAUUUGCAUCAAAAUCCGUAUGAAUUUCCAUAGGAAUUUUUUUUAAGUUCAAACAAUAAGAAUUUUUGUAACUACAAUCAGAAAAAAUCAUCAAAUUUACUAUUUACUAUUCUCCUCCCCUCCCCUCCCUUCCCCUCCCCUCCCUUCUUCCAUUCCAUUCUAAUUAUUUUUGGCAAUUUGUGCUCAAUGUAGUAUGAAACAGGAUAGGAAAAGUUUUAUUUGAAAGGCCCUAUUAAAAACACUAAAAAUUAAGUAUAGUACAAUUAAUAUUAUACUGAGAAACUGAUAUUACUGAAAUGCCUAGUACAGACUGGAGCUGGAAAGGCCAGAGUUUUGGAUUACCUUGGGUCAAUCAUUAUAUCCCAGAUGACUGAGUCAACGUAUUUCAUAUUUGAAGUAGGUUUUUGAUAUUUGAAAUGGUUGUUUUCAAUUUGAGAUUUUUGUUUACCCUUCUUUGUGUCUGUUAGAACGUGGUAUCAAGCUGUGUUGUCUUCUACCGCCAACUGUUAAUGACUCCAGGUUAUGUCUAGUCUUGCUGAUGAUGAACAGUUAUUUCAGAGGAAGAUGAUGUGAGCUAUAUAGAAAGACAGCUUUCUGUCUUUCCCCCAAUGUUUUGUACAUUUUUGAUAAAGAUUUAUUUGUGUAUUUAAUUUGUAAGGCAAUACUGUUUUUCAGGAUUUCUUCAGAAUUUCAGAUGACUAAGCAUUCAUUGCAGUAUUUGGCUUCCUUAUAUUCCCGAGUAUGUACAGCCUGGAUAUUAAUAGCUUGGUUCACAUAUUGUGCUAAAACAAUUGCUUUUGACAAUGAUGUAUUGAAUAAAUUGCAUGAAAUUAUAAACCUUAGUUUGCAAAUCACAGUAGCUUGAGUUCAUAAAAUCAAGUAAAACCACAUUAUAAUUUAAUGUGAUGUAUGGACCUGGUUGAUCCAUUUCUUAACCUUCUUGAAUAGUUUUAGCAAUAUGUCUUGGUUCCUAUCUUUUUUAUUUGCCCUCCAUGUAUGUUAAAAAUGUCACCUCCAAAAAAUAUUUGCCUGUCACAGACAUAAUUGAUUACAGUAGUUGACAUCCUUGUGAUUAUGGGAGAGAUGUGUAGAUUCACAGAACCAACAGUCAACCUUCAAUAGAUAACCAUACCCCUUAUCUGUUUGGUUGAAAAAGUGUGAGAUAGCUGAAAUAAGCAGAUGUACAGUUAUUGAUUUGUAUGUGAAAUUCACUGACAGGCAAAAUCUUUUUGAUGUGCAAAAAAAGAAACAAUACCCUUCCUCUCUAAGGGAUAGGAUUCAAUAUGACACAGAAUUUGUGUGUGGACAACAAAAGGUAUGACCUAGAUGAAAACUGGAUAUACAUGGAAGUUUAGCAAUAAGUGGAAACCACUGCAGGUUGCUUCUCUUGAAAGUAUUUCUCAAAUGCUCAGAUAUUUUAUAUUAAUGCAAGGCUCCUCAAUUUCAUUUAAUUAAUGUUCUUUGCAUUUAAAGCCAAUUGAGAUAAUCGGUAGAAAUGAGAAGAGAGCAGUUUUCAGGCUAUCAGUCUUUCUUUUGUAUCUUCAAAAUAGUCAAAUGCUAUCUCUUCCAAUGUUAACUGUAAUGGCAUUAGCUUCCUUCCCCUUCAGAUUAGAAGAUUGUACUGAAGAGCUAUUUUGAAGAAAUAAGAAUAAACAAUCAUUUAUGAUUUUUUGUUGUUGUUGAAGAAGUAGAAAACUGCAUUAGCAAUAGCCAAUGAGAUUUCAGAGUAAGAGAGAUCUGGAAAAGCUAAUACAAAUACAAAGCAUAUAUCCCUGAAAGCACUUUAUAAGACACACACAUAUCUUCAGUCGUGGAAACAUCAUUAAAUAUACUGCUAAUAUACUAAUAAUUAUGUUUUAAUACAUUUAAUUAAAAUGGUUAUUUUUCCUGGUCUAUUUUUCACUUUUUGGAGCAUGGGUCUAGUACACCAGUUAAAGACUGAGUGCAGGAUUUGGUCACCAAAAUUGUGCACCCCAAUUUAGUAACUUAACAAAUUCAGAUCUUUUGCCUUUUUUGCUUGAAGUACAGCAAAUAAUCCUACAGCAUUUUAAGCUUAAUAAAUAUCUGGCAUAAUCCUGUUUUCAUCGUAUCCUUAAUUUUCAGCAAUCAUUAUGAAAGAGGACUCCAGGGGCCACAAAAAAGUAGGCUUAGGCACUGCUAUAGACACCCAUUCCUUUUUAUAUGAUGAAUAAGAAAUACAAAUUGCAGACUUCAACAAGUCAGUCCAGACAAGAGAAGAAGCUUGUAUUUUUAUCUGGUCACAGCACUUCAGUAGAUCAGCAGAAGUGACCCUCCUCAAAUUUGGAUAAUAAUAUGAUGGCACCCAUACUAUCCAAAGCAUAUCAAUGCAGAGUUUCAAGCUGUGGAAAAUACCUCUAUAGAUGCUUGACAUUGCAGGAUGAGAACCGUUUUAGGCUAUGACGGCAAAAAACCCAGAAGGCAUCCCUUUGUGGCUAAUAUUAUUAAAACAAGAGUUUUGAGCUGCAGCUCCCUUCAUCAUUCUAGCUAUUAUGUGCAUUUUAUAAGUAACUCCUGAUACAUAUUGUAUGAUCUCUAUGUUAGGGCAGGUUUAUAUUUGUCAGCCAAGAACAUGCAUUUGAAAUAGGGCAAGUGGUGCAUGGAUGUGGUUCUUUCUGUAUCUUUCAUGAUAUAUUAAUUGGAUUCCGUAUUAAAAUAAGGCACUUAGUAUUCA